GAUGAACGCUGGCGGCAUGCCUAACACAUGCGAGUCGAUCGGUAAGGCUCUUCGGAGUACACGAGAGGCGGACGGCUGAGUAACGCGUAGGAACACACCCUGCAGUGAGGGAUAAGACACCGAAAGGUGUUCUAAUACCGCAUACGGUCUUCGGAUUAAAGCAUUUAUGCGCUGAAGGAGUGGCCUGCGUCAUAUUAGAUAGUUGGUGAGGUAAUGGCUCACCAAGUCGAUGAUGUGUAGCUGGUCUGAGAGGAUGAUCAGCCAGACUGGAACUGAGACACGGUCCAGACUCCUACGGGAGGCAGCAGUGAGGAAUAUUUCACAAUGAGCGAAAGCUUGAUGGAGCAAUGCCGCGUGCAGGAUGAAGGCCCUCGGGUUGUAAACUGCUUUUAUAAGAGAAGAUUAUGACGGUAACUUAUGAAUAAGGGACGGCUAACUACGUG
RNAcentral lists this ribosomal RNA (443 nucleotides) under uncultured bacterium. RNAcentral's name for it is "partial 16S ribosomal RNA". It matches the Rfam family "Bacterial small subunit ribosomal RNA", at positions 28 to 507 of the family's 1533-position model. The record is from RNAcentral.